This 63-nucleotide transfer RNA is filed under the name Euastacus yarraensis (Yarra cray). RNAcentral describes it as "tRNA-Gly". Lineage: Eukaryota; Metazoa; Arthropoda; Malacostraca; Decapoda; Parastacidae. The record is from RNAcentral.
UAAUUUUUUAGUAUACAUUGUACAUUUAGCUUCCAACUAAAAAGUCUAAUCUUUAGAAAAAUU